UUGGUAGAUCUUUCCUUGGUUAUCCAACGUAACUGUGAAAGAGCUAGUGAGGUUGUACGAAAAUGCCUCUUUAAGGACAUAUGUCUUCUUUUUCAAAAUUUUCAUGAUUAUUAUAAUAUCGUGGCGUGGUUUAUCAGGUACCUGUCAGUGAUCACUGUAUGACGUAUCUGGGUUUUGCAUUAAGCUUUCUGUUUGACUAAAUUUUUCUACUCAUGGGGUGGCGUCUGAAGGAGUUAUGAAACCGAUGAACAUACUGGCAAGCAAAGUGGGCAAUGGCUUCAACUAGUCUUUUUCAAGAGUGCGGAGUUAAAAGGCAGUUUCAAGAUUUGUUCAUUUCUGGCCGAACCAGCGUGCAAGGGCUGUUUAGGGAUUACUGCUGAAUGAUAUACAUAACGUCAACGAAACUGCAAAUCUUCUGAAAAGGCAAAGAACAAAUGCCAAAUUCUUGUCGACAAUCAACGUGACAGAUAACUGAAUUUGACGACUUGAAUUCCAUGUAGAAAAUUCACGCCUUCUAGCAACAUGCAGAAAAGUUUGACAGCAAAUCAAAAAAUUUUGCCGACUACCGAGAUCAUAUGUAAAACAAAAUAUUAACAAUAUUUGCAGAAAAGGUGCAAGUGCAACAUAAUGCAAACAAACGCUCACUGAUAUUAUUUUAUUAAACGAUAUCGGCUGUUUGACUACCACUAGCCUCUCUGUAGUCAAACAGCUAAAAGCUCGUUUGAUAAAAUUAUUAUAUCAGUAAAGUUUGAUCACAUUAUAAGUAUGUGUAUUGUUGCAUGUUUUAGAUAUUCACUGAUAUUAAAAAGAACUCUGGGCAUGUUUAUGUUAAUUCGAUUAAAAAAACACAUUAUUUACAUCCAUUUAACCGUCGAUGUGUAUCGACGAACUUGUACUUGAUAAUUAUAUGAUAGAAUGUUUUGAUGCUUUUGUACAUCGAUUAAACGUCUUCAAAGAGAGUUUUGAUGAAACCUGAAAUUCGGUGAGAAUCUCAUUUUUGACUUACGCUGGACAGUUGGUGCAAACGCAAUAAAGUUUUCCUUUUCGAACACUAGUGGCUUCAUGAUAUUUACUAAUAAAGUAGAGUAUACAAAUCAGAGAAUUCUAGAUACGAAAAAGAAAAUAGAUGAUAACCACAAUGUUAAUAAAUAGCUACGACAUGGGGAAUUUAUGGCAAUAAAAUGAAGUAGAUUUAUAAAACUAUUAUUUAAACAAUAUACUAUAUAAUUCAUAUUA
Xenia sp. Carnegie-2017 is the source of this 1236-nucleotide long non-coding RNA. RefSeq lists it as uncharacterized. NCBI's taxonomy places the organism in Eukaryota, Metazoa, Cnidaria, Anthozoa, Malacalcyonacea, Xeniidae. The record is from RefSeq and is a predicted model, not a curated record. The transcript is spliced from 2 exons.